This 72-nucleotide transfer RNA is filed under the name Monotropa hypopitys (pinesap). RNAcentral's name for it is "tRNA-Gln". It matches the Rfam family "tRNA". From Rfam's summary of the family: Transfer RNA (tRNA) molecules are approximately 80 nucleotides in length. Their secondary structure includes four short double-helical elements and three loops (D, anti-codon, and T loops). The record is from RNAcentral. Lineage: Eukaryota; Viridiplantae; Streptophyta; Magnoliopsida; Ericales; Ericaceae.
UGGGGCGUGGCCAAGCGGUAAGGCAUCGGGCUUUGGUCCUGAUAUUCGGAGGUUCGAACCCUCUCGCCCCAC